Molecule: ribosomal RNA, 849 nt
Filed under: uncultured Actinomycetes bacterium
Lineage: Bacteria; Bacillati; Actinomycetota; Actinomycetes
Description: bacterial SSU rRNA
Rfam family: Bacterial small subunit ribosomal RNA
Source: RNAcentral
UGCAGUCGAGCGGUAAGGCCCUUUCGGGGGUACACGAGCGGCGAACGGGUGAGUAACACGUGGGUGACCUGCCUUCAGCUCUGGGAUAAGCCUGGGAAACUGGGUCUAAUACCGGAUAUGACUCCAUGAUGCAUGUUGUGGGGUGGAAAGCUUUUGCGGCUGGAGAUGGGCCCGCGGCCUAUCAGCUUGUUGGUGGGGUGAUGGCCUACCAAGGCGACGACGGGUAGCCGGCCUGAGAGGGCGAUCGGCCACACUGGGACUGAGACACGGCCCAGACUCCUACGGGAGGCAGCAGUGGGGAAUUUUGCGCAAUGGGCGGAAGCCUGACGCAGCGACGUCGCGUGAGGGAUGACGGCCUUCGGGUUGUAAACCUCUUUCAGCCCUGACGAAGCAAUGAUGUGACGGUAGGGGUAGAAGAAGCACCGGCCAACUACGUGCCAGCAGCCGCGGUAAUACGUAGGGUGCAAGCGUUGUCCGGAAUUAUUGGGCGUAAAGAGCUCGUAGGCGGUCUGUCGCGUCAGCUGUGAAAUCCCGGGGCUCAACUCCGGGCUUGCAGUCGAUACGGGCAGGCUAGAGUUCGGCAGGGGAGACUGGAAUUCCUGGUGUAGCGGUGAAAUGCGCAGAUAUCAAGAGGAACACCGGUGGCGAAGGCGGGUCUCUGGGCCGAUACUGACGCUGAGGAGCGAAAGCGUGGGGAUCAAACAGGGUUAGAUACCCUGGUAGUCCACGCUGUAAACGAUGGGGACUAGGUGUGGGGGGUAUUGACCCCUCCCGUGCCGACGCUAACGCAUUAAGUCCCCCGCCUGGGGAUUACGGCCGCAAGGUUAAAACUCAUAUGAAUUGACUGGG